GAUUAACGCUGGCGGCGUGCAUAACACAUGCAAGUCGAACGAUGAAACUUUAAUGAACCCUUCGGGGAGAAUUAAAGCGGAUUAGUGGCGAACGGGUGAGUAACGCGUGAGUAACCUGCCUUACACAAGGGGAUAGCCUUUGGAAACGAAGAAUAAUACCCUAUAAAACCAUAAAAGCACAUGCAAUUAUGGUCAAAGUGAUAGCGGUGUAAGAUGGACUUGCGUCUGAUUAGCUAGUUGGUGAGAUAAAAGCCCACCAAGGCAACGAUCAGUAGCCGGCUUGAGAGAGUGUACGGCCACAUUGGGACUGAGACACGGCCCAGACUCCUACGGGAGGCAGCAGUGGGGAAUUUUGCACAAUGGGGGAAACCCUGAUGCAGCGACGCCGCGUGAUUUAGAAGGCCUUCGGGUUGUGAAAAUCUUUUGUAUAGGAAGAAAAUGACAGUACUAUACGAAUAAGGUCCGGCUAAUUACGUG
RNAcentral lists this ribosomal RNA (477 nucleotides) under uncultured bacterium. RNAcentral describes it as "partial 16S ribosomal RNA". It matches the Rfam family "Bacterial small subunit ribosomal RNA", at positions 28 to 507 of the family's 1533-position model. The record is from RNAcentral.